RNAcentral lists this ribosomal RNA (1050 nucleotides) under oral metagenome. RNAcentral describes it as "bacterial SSU rRNA". It matches the Rfam family "Bacterial small subunit ribosomal RNA", at positions 379 to 1440 of the family's 1533-position model. The record is from RNAcentral.
AAGCCUGAUGCAGCAACGCCGCGUGCGGGAUGACGGCCUUCGGGUUGUAAACCGCUUUCAAUUGUGACGAAGCGAGAGUGACGGUAGCAGUAGAAGAAGCACCGGCUAACUACGUGCCAGCAGCCGCGGUGAUACGUAGGGUGCGAGCGUUGUCCGGAUUUAUUGGGCGUAAAGGGCUCGUAGGUGGUUUGUUGCGUCGGAAGUGAAAACUCAGGGCUUAACUUUGAGCUUGCUUUCGAUACGGGCAGACUUGAGGAAGGUAGGGGAGAAUGGAAUUCCUGGUGGAGCGGUGGAAUGUUUAGAUAUCAGGAGGAACACCGGUGGCGAAGGCGGUUCUCUGGGCCUUUCCUGACGCUGAGGAGCGAAAGCGUGGGUAGCAAACAGGCUUAGAUACCCUGGUAGUCCACGCUGUAAACGGUGGGUACUAGGUGUGGGUCGCAUUCCACGUGGUCCGUGCCGUAGCUAACGCAUUAAGUACCCCGCCUGGGGAGUACGGCCGCAAGGCUAAAACUCAAAGGAAUUGACGGGUCCCCGCACAAGCGGCGGAGCAUGCGGAUUAAUUCGAUGCAACGCGAAGAACCUUACCUGGGUUUGACAUAUGCCGGAAGCAUUCAGAGAUGGGUGUGCCUUUUUGGUCGGUUUACAGGUGGUGCAUGGCUGUCGUCAGCUCGUGUCGUGAGAUGUUGGGUUAAGUCCCGCAACGAGCGCAACCCUUGUCCUAUGUUGCCAGCAUGUUGUGGUGGGGACUCAUAGGAGACUGCCGGGGUCAACUCGGAGGAAGGUGGGGAUGAGGUCAAGUCAUCAUGCCCCUUAUGUCCAGGGCUUCACGCAUGCUACAAUGGCUGGUACAGUGGGUGGCGAGCCUGUGAGGGUUAGCGAAUCCCUAAAAGCCAGUCUCAGUUCGGAUUGGGGUCUGCAACUCGACCUCAUGAAGUCGGAGUCGCUAGUAAUCGCAGAUCAGCAACGCUGCGGUGAAUACGUUCCCGGGGAUUGUACACACCGCCCGUCAAGUCAUGAAAGUCGGUAACACCCGAAGCCGGUGGCCUAACC